AGACUGAAAUAAUCAUGUAUGUUAUCUUAAAAAAACUCAUUUAUAUGACACUGUGGGGGAAGAGAGAGGCAGUUACCUGUGCUGAUAACCAUCAAACAGAAAUUGGGAACUAAACCAAUGGACCCUGAAAGACUAGUAAUUUGAUAGGAAAUUUUCCAUAGUAACAGACAAAUUAAGGGUACUUUAAACUCUUUUAAAACCAAAACCUAAAAUAAUCUCUUUUGUAAGAUUUUUACAUUUUAGUUCAUAAUUUACAUGUACAUUUUUAUUUUACUACUGUAGUUAUAGCUGAACAUGUUAGUAAUACAAUUGUUGAGGUGAUACAAAAAUUCAUACUUUAUGAAACUACUGCAUUAUUAAAAUACAGACAAUGCUUUUACAAUUUGUUUUACAUCGAAAUAGCUCAUAAAGUUCUUGCUUGUUUACUGAAAGAGUCGUGGAAAAACUCAUUGUUACUACAGCUGUGUGCUUGUUCACCCUUCUCUCACCACCCACUGGCUGUUUGCUGAAAGGGAGGUCUGGUGAUCUUUCAAAGCAUCUCUUUGAAUGAGUUUUUGCACAAAAGUGCUUUUACUUUCCUUUGAAGGGAAAGAGCAGUAUGUGUGUGAGUGUAUGUAGGGUGACGACAGUAAAGGGAAAGGCAUGGCAUGGUGACUACCUCUCUUUCCCAACAUCCACAUGAAAUAAUUUCAUCAGAGACCUCGUGAUAUAAUGAACAUAGGCAGUGCUGCUUCAAGAACCAGGUGACAAAGUAUGGCACAGAGCUGGCCUUGCCCCUGCCAUUGAGCUCAGUCCCACUCUCGCUCUUGGUGAGCAGCUUUGAGAGCACUCAGAGAUAAUCCCCUUGACUCCAGCGUGGAUUCCCUCACGGAGGAUAUUAGCAGCAGUGGAAGUGGCAAGCUCCCUAAUGCAAGUGAUACUCAGCACUAGACUUUCAGGAGAAGGUUGGAGGACAAGAACAAAGACAAACAUUACAACAUUAUAGAGCACAUAGGAACUGUCUCUUGGAGAAUUCUGGAAAUAUGGGAAAGAGGUGAGACAUUUUCAGGAGUCUAGGGGCCUAGUGGAAGCAGAGGGGCUAAAUUUAUAUUAUUAAUAUACCUGGAAAUCAGUUCAUACCCCAGGCUGGUGUGAGCUUUAAAGAGUGGUUUUUGGCUAAUGGGUUGUUAGCUAACAGAUACUCUUCAUGUAAUUCAAAUUGCCAAUGGUGGGACUGAGAAGACUUUCCCAUUAAGAGAACUGGACAAGAGAAAGGAAGAUCGUUCAAAGCACAAUGAAGUAGGAGAAUGCUUACAGAAACCUGAGUAACUGAAGUAUAUUCUCUGAUCAAAGGCAACAGGGGUUAUUCUUCCA
This 1353-nucleotide long non-coding RNA is filed under the name Capra hircus (goat). RNAcentral's name for it is "lncRNA (ENSCHIG00010016779.1)". Lineage: Eukaryota; Metazoa; Chordata; Mammalia; Artiodactyla; Bovidae. The record is from RNAcentral.